AACCUUCUGUAUCCGUGCUGAGAUUUCGUCACAUAUCAGACCACAAGGGCUGAUGAGACUUCCAAGAUAAGUGAGGCG
This 78-nucleotide microRNA precursor is filed under the name Schistosoma margrebowiei. RNAcentral's name for it is "mir-3492 microRNA precursor family". It matches the Rfam family "mir-3492 microRNA precursor family". Lineage: Eukaryota; Metazoa; Platyhelminthes; Trematoda; Strigeidida; Schistosomatidae. The record is from Rfam by way of RNAcentral.